Homo sapiens (human) is the source of this 905-nucleotide long non-coding RNA. Ensembl annotates it as long intergenic non-protein coding RNA 598. The record is from Ensembl. NCBI's taxonomy places the organism in Eukaryota, Metazoa, Chordata, Mammalia, Primates, Hominidae.
GCAGAGGUCAAGGGCUGUGCUGACGCCCCCCAUGUCUGCGUGUUGACAGCAGACUUACUGGGGACACGCUGUAGAGCUCCGAUGAUGGCUGUUGGCCGAAUGGAUGAAUGGCUUCAUUAACUUCACUGCAACACGCAGGAGUCCUUGAUCUCCCCCCUUGAAAGGUGGGUCCCUGCCUUCUUCAGAUGACCUUGAAUAACACUGUCCUCUGCACUUCUGGCCGCCACGGAAGAGGCAUGACUGCUGUGAGUCUGGGGCCUUGGAACCAUUUUAGACCAAGGCAGGAAAAAUAAACAGAUGGGCGAGAGGGAGAAACUGAGUUUCAACAAAGAAAUUGCACCGAACCCAGAACUAAACAGGACCGGGCUGCCAGAGGGUGCUUUUCUGUGCUGAAUCAUGGGACCUUCUUGCUGACCAGAGCAGAGAAGAAAAGUCUCCUGUGUUGCACGGCUGUGUUUGGUGUACAAAUAACACCUGGGGUCUGUGGUGAUGGGUCCUUAGGAAUAGAGAGAAAGAGAAAUGGCCUUGGAAUUUAGUGGCCUGAAGACAUAGUUUAAAAAUUCAUUUCCGGACCUCAACCUACGGCCUUUGACAGAAAGAUGGGUUUGUUGUCUGCUGUGAAAUAAAAGCCAUCUGAGGCUUGUGGGAGCAUGAUGAGCACCAGAGUCCGGCUUAGAAAUCACGCUGAUGGCCCAGAAAACUCAGCCAACCACAGAUACCAUUGCUGCUUCUAGAAGCCCAGGACACUGGCACUGUGAGGCAAUGCUGGAGAUUCGUCCUAUCCCUGGUCUCUUGCAAACAUUUUAAAUUGAAACCUUUAAUAGUCAGCAUGAGAGCACUCGGAUUCAAUUAUAUUCAUCUCUGAAGAUGUCCUGAUAUCGCCUACUUGUUUAUAAAAAUUAAUC